UCUUCCCUCUUUCUUCGUGCCUAAUACAUGCAAGUCGAGCGAACAUACUAGGAGCUUGCUCCUCUGACGUUAGCGGCGGACGGGUGAGUAACACGUGGAUAACCUACCUAUAAGACUGGUAUAACUUCGGGAAACCGGAGCUAAUACCGUAUAAUAUAGUGAACCGCAUGGUUGAAUAGGGAAGGACUGUUUUGCUGUCUCUGAUAGAUGGAUCCCCGCCGCAUUAGCUAGUUGGUAAGGUAACGGCUUACCAAGGCAACGAUGCGUAGCCGACCUGAGAGGGUGAUCGGCCACCCUGGAACUGAGACACGGUCCAGACUACUACGGGAGGGAGCAGUAGGGAACCUUACGCAAUGGGCGAAAGCAUGACGGAGCAAGGCAGCGUGAGUGAUAAAGGUCUUCGGAUCGUAAAACUCUGUUAUUAGGGAAGAACCAAUGUGUAAGUAACUAUGCACGUAUUGACGGUACCUAAUCAGAAAGCCACGGCUAACUACGUG
RNAcentral lists this ribosomal RNA (497 nucleotides) under uncultured bacterium. RNAcentral's name for it is "partial 16S ribosomal RNA". It matches the Rfam family "Bacterial small subunit ribosomal RNA", at positions 36 to 507 of the family's 1533-position model. The record is from RNAcentral.